RNAcentral lists this unclassified non-coding RNA (263 nucleotides) under uncultured fungus. RNAcentral's name for it is "partial contains 5.8S ribosomal RNA, internal transcribed spacer 2, and large subunit ribosomal RNA". The record is from RNAcentral. Lineage: Eukaryota; Fungi.
AACGCACAUUGCGCCCGCCAGCACUCUGGCGGGCAUGCCUGUCCGAGCGUCACUAGCAACCACUCAGCGCCCCCCCGGGGGUGCUGGCGUUGGGGAUCGGCCGCCCGCGGCGGCGCCCGUCCCCCAAAUCCAGUGGCGGCCCGGCGCGAGCUCCCCUGCGCAGUAGCGAUGCGACGCAGAGGGUGACGCGCCGGCGCCCGCCGUGAAACCCCCCAACUCUUCAGGUUGACCUCGGAUCAGGUAGGACUACCCGCUGAACUUAA